AAGAGUAUAGCUCAGUUGGAGAGUGCAUGCUUAGCAUGCACAAGGUCCUGGGUUCAAUCCUCAGUACCCCUA
RNAcentral lists this transfer RNA (72 nucleotides) under Camelus bactrianus (Bactrian camel). It matches the Rfam family "tRNA". From Rfam's summary of the family: Transfer RNA (tRNA) molecules are approximately 80 nucleotides in length. Their secondary structure includes four short double-helical elements and three loops (D, anti-codon, and T loops). The record is from Rfam by way of RNAcentral. RNAcentral also lists the same sequence under 2 other names. Lineage: Eukaryota; Metazoa; Chordata; Mammalia; Artiodactyla; Camelidae.